This 28-nucleotide non-coding RNA is filed under the name Mus musculus (house mouse). Lineage: Eukaryota; Metazoa; Chordata; Mammalia; Rodentia; Muridae. The record is from RNAcentral.
UAGAAGCCUCCAGCCACGAUAGGAACUG